CCAAAUAACGCUUGUAACAUCCACAGCUCGACAUAAACGACUUCUAGGGUGUGAUCGGCGCCUCUAACCCCUCUCAGCCUUUGGGCUCUACGAAGCGCCAGGAGCCGGAGGGACGCGGGGAGGAACAUGGGGCAGGGCGGUCCGGAGCGACCGCGGCCUCUUAGGCUGCCCAGCCCCGCCCCUUCCGCGCUCUCGGACCCGCGUCCCGGGCCUCCAGUGCCCAGCAUCCCGCAUCUCGCAUGCAGCAUCCAUCCUCCGGCGCCGCUCCGUGUGGUCUGCCAGGCGAAGCAGAAGCUCAGGCGCAGGGAUGGUCGCUGGCUAAGGGCCCCUGAAAACAGCCCUAGGCCCUCCAGGCUCAAGUGUGCCACCCCAAGCGUGCCACGGGGUGGCGGGUGGGGAGUGGGGGCGAGCUCCCUGGGUGACAGGCAUAGGGAAUCUGGAAAUCAGGCCACGGGAUGAAGGGGAGCGACUGAAGAAUGGAACCCACGCCUGCUCGGAGGAGUCCACGAUCCUCAAAGCCGCCAGCCUUCUAGAAGGCUGUCCUCUCAGGCCCGGGUCUCCCUCCCGCGGCCACAGAAACCAUCUGCCCUUUGCGGGACACCUGAGGCCCGGGGCGGAGCCUAGGGUUCCAGCUGGCAGCGGUAACACCUGCACUCCUGGACCUGAAACAGUGUGUCCAGAGGGAAGGAAACCCGCAGGCUGUGAAGAUCGCGCUGGACAUCUUGGGUCUUCCUCCCAAACGUAUCCCUCUGAUCUAACCUAAUCACACAGCUUACAAGAGGGCCAUCUGACAGCACACCUGACCAGUGUUUCUCAAAACUGCCAAGGUCGUCAAAACACAUGAAAGUCUGGGGAAACGUCACAGUCAAGAGGAGCCUAAGGAGACAAUGACAAUUAAAGGAUCAUCAACCAGCAUGAGAGAUCCCAGAACCAGAGGAGACUCACCUAAAUUUGUCUGGACCCUCCAAGAAGGUAGAUGGGUACAAGAGGCCUCUGCUGGUACCAAGGCUCCAGUUCUUAGAAGAGGUGAAGCAAAGCAAAAUAAAGACUAUAAGAGUUGACUCAUUGGAAAAGACUCUGAUGCUGGGAGAGAUUGGGGGCAGGAAGAAAAGGGGACGACAGAGGAUGAGAUGGCCGGAUGACAUCACCGACUCGAUGGACGUGGGUUUGAGUGAACUCCAGGAGAUUGUGAUGGACAGGGAGGCCUGGUCUGCUGCGAUUCAUGGGGUCGCAAAGAGUAGGACACGACUGAGCGACUGAACCGAACUGAACUCAACUGAAAAACUAUAACCCAGGAGCAGUUUCUCAGAGGUGUCUGAAGUGCUGUCUGUCCGGCUAUAGUCUUGACAUUUUACUCCAAAUAAAAGUUAACUUACAACUCUCACACCGUGCUUUUUUGUUCUUAAGUCGGCACUAUCAAACAAUUUUGAACAGUAAUGACUAACGUACUUUAAAAAGAGUUUGUGUAGCAUUUAGAAUCAGCACAGGUGCAUCGUAUUAGCAGUUUAUACGCACCCCUUUCCCCAUUCCUAUCAAGGAUGCUCAGCCCUCGGCUUUGCCACUGGAAGAAGUGGCUGUGGAAUGCUGUCUUAUUUACAUAUUUGAACCUUGAAUUCCAGAUUCAAAUCCCUAGUGGAAGAGUAGGGUGAUUUACUAAGGGGAGUUAGAUUCCCCCUCCCUGGCUCUCCUCAAAAAAGGUGCCACCAACGCUUUCCUGUCUGGUGGACAGGGAGACCUAUCUUAAUGUUUGUUAUCUCCCAGGAAGCAGUUAUUUAUGUGUCUCCAGGCCCACCUUUAGCUUCCCAGCCUGGCCCUGUGAGUACACAUGAGAGGCAACCACUUAAAAUUCACUCUCAAACCCCAAUAUUACCAGCCAGCAGCUUUUCAUUUGAAGCAGGUGAAGGGAUUGCUUCCUCUCUCCCACUAAGUAUGGCAGACU
Long non-coding RNA from Bos taurus (domestic cattle), 1939 nucleotides. NCBI's taxonomy places the organism in Eukaryota, Metazoa, Chordata, Mammalia, Artiodactyla, Bovidae. The record is from Ensembl.